GUGAGGAUCAGUAGAUGGGAGCCAGUAGCCCUACCUCAUUGUUGUCAUGAGUUACCAUGAGUUAUCAUCAGUGACUGAAGGUGAGACAGUGAAAUCCUCCACUUGAAGCUCACAGCCUAGAAUUUCUGUAGUUUCUACAAACAUGUUCCUGAUAGGACUGUUGGACAAAUAACUUACAGAAGACUUCUGUAAGAAACGAUAGCAGA
RNAcentral lists this long non-coding RNA (206 nucleotides) under Monodelphis domestica (gray short-tailed opossum). RNAcentral describes it as "lncRNA (ENSMODG00000047921.1)". The record is from RNAcentral. Lineage: Eukaryota; Metazoa; Chordata; Mammalia; Didelphimorphia; Didelphidae.